Molecule: long non-coding RNA, 3873 nt
Organism: Prosopis cineraria
Lineage: Eukaryota; Viridiplantae; Streptophyta; Magnoliopsida; Fabales; Fabaceae
Exons: 2
Source: RefSeq, a predicted model, not a curated record
UUCCCCUUCUCCUUCAACAUUUUCAAAAAAUCCAGAACCACCAAGAGUCAUUUCGUUCAUUCUCUGCUCAUCUCCUCCUUGCCGUUGUUCUUCAUUUCUUCCCUUACCACCGCUAGCUUGCAUCUUUCCUUUUCUUCUAUUGUACGUUCGCCGCUGAGCUUGCUUGUUUCUUCUCCACUGAGGAUCUGCUGUGAAACGUUGCUGUGUUUAGAUCACUGGAGCUUGCUGCUGCGAGAAAGCUGUUCAAGUCGACCUACUCGCUCCUUACUCAGGCUUCACCAUUGAUUCCUUCUUCUCCCUCCUUUGGCGUCGUCUAAGUGAUAUCACAGCUUUCUCAUUUCUAAUCUCCUCUCUCGUUCGGUCUCACUAGUCAGUCCUCAUAGUGGUGCUGCCUGUCUGUCGUCAUCCACCCACCCCCAACUUAGUCACCGUCCACCGUCUCACCGCCGUGCCAUCUCUGUUGUCGUCCACCCACCUCUAACAGUUGUGCCGUCUCACAGUCGGUUCUCACAUAGGCAACGAUCUUUCAGCCAUCCACUAACUCUGUGCAGAUUUGUGGUCCUUGUGGCGUUGCCUCCUCCAUCCACUGUCUCCAAGUUGCUUCCAGUGGUGGUGAUCUCGUGCCAUAGUCGAGGAAGGCAGUAAGCUUUAUCUAUACUCUCUUGCCUCGAUCUGCUCAUGGUCUUCCGUCCGUCACUAAUCUACUCGUGGUCCUCUUCAGUCGGUCCAGCUUAGAGGUAAAUGAUCUUCUCUAACCUUUUUUUGGAUGAUCUUAGUCAGGUUUGAUCUUGGUCAUACUCUAUUUCCCUCUUCACUCUGAUUUAUGCACGGAUGAAUUUGUUCUCAUGAUUGCUGGCUUAGUUUUGUGUGGUUUGAACCAUUUACAACUCUUGAACAUUUACAAAUAAUAAUGUGGGUGAAAGUUGAUUUUUCAUGCUGUUUUUUGUGUUAGUUUUGUGCCCAGUCGAACUCUGUGCUGAAUAUGGGAGAACUGUUAAAAGUUAAUUUUUUAGCUAUUGAAACCUGAUUUUAGUUAAAAUCUUAUACAUUUGCAAAUUGUGAGAAAGCUGUUGAAAGUUGGUUUUGUGCCUAGUCGAACUCUUUAUUGGUUUCGGUCUGUGUGAUCACUGAUUACUGGAGCUUUAUUCUUAAACAAUAUGUUUUGCAUAUAUAGGGGUCAUUUAGUUGAAUUUUUUGCUGUGUGAUUCUCUAUUGAAUUUGGCUCAUCUGAAAAUUGUCAAGUUUUUGUCAUGUAAUAUUUUAAUUACAAUUCCUAUAAUUAACAUGUUAGUUUUUUAUAUAGUAUAAUGAUUAAUAAUAAGUCAAAAGCUUCAUGGGAUCGAAGAAAUACUAGAAUAUUUAUUGACAUUUGUUUGGACCAAGCUCGAAAAUCGCAAAGAAAUGGUGGUAGUUUUACCAAACAAGGAUGGCUUAGCAUAAUUUCUACCUUCAAUGAGAGGACUGGACAGAAAUAUGAUAGACAACAAUUCAAGAAUAAGUAGGAUAAUAUAAGAAAAGAGUGGGUACUGUGGGAUAAGUUGGUUUCAAGUGAGAUAGGAUUAGGUUGGGAUUAUGAAAGCAAUACUGUGGAUGCUUUAGAUGAUUGGUGGGAGAAGAAGAUAUUAGUAUGAUGUUAUUAUGUGAGGCUUUAUAUUUAUUUUAUUUAUUUAUGUAUUCUAUAAUAUUAUUGAUAAUUUAUGUGCAAGAAAAUCCAUUAUACGAGAAAAUCAGACAUAAAGGAUUACCAUUUGCCAAUGAAUUAACCGAGUUUUUCCAAGGUACUAUUGCUAAUAGACCUAGAGCAUGGGCACCUUCAAGUAGAGUUUUGCCAAACAUUUACAAUAGGAAUGAAAGUGAGGAUGAAGAGGUGUAUCAGCCAGAUAUGGCAAAUGAGGGUAUUGAUUUGGAGGAAGGUUCAGGAGAUAGUGAUGAGAUCUUAGGAACUACUGGAGUAAGCGAUGAAUUUAAUAGAGUAGUUCUAAAUGCUUCUCAAGGAACCUUAAGUGGAGGCAGUGGUAAGAGGAAGAGGGCCGAAAGCACUAACAAUAGAAAGAAGAACAAGUUACCUAUUAUAAGUCAAAUAGCAAAUGCAAUGAGUGUGAUAGCUCAGACAACAAAGGAAGAAUCUCAACAGGUUAAGGAAACAUCAAUUCCUGAAGUCAUGUCUAUAGUCAAACAAUAGGAAGAAGUUGCAACUAACAAACAUUGGGUUUCAUGAUGCAUGUCACUCUUCAUGUCCCGAGAGGCUAGGGUGAUGUUUUUGACAAUGAAGGAUGAUAAAGAAAGUAUUUUGGAGUGGUUGAGAUAUGAAUGUUAUAAAAAUGGUUGAUUAUUAGAGUUUUAAAACUUAUUAUGAGCAUAUGAUCUUACUUAAAGAGUAGUCCAACAUGUUUGUAUUAUAUUGUUGAAUUUGAAUUAUGUAUCCUCUUAAACUACUUAUGUACUUUUUAUAUAUGGUAAUCAAGUAUUACAAUGUUGUGGAAAAGUUAUUGGUAUUUCUAUAAAUGACUUAUUUAGAUGUAUCUAUAAUUGAAAUUAAAUGCAUGUAUUAUUUAUGUGUUUGGCUACAGAUAGCAAUACAUAUGGAAGAUUCGUCUAAAAAAAGGCUAAAGAGAGCCUAAAAAGUUAGUGCUCUCAUUGGGUUGUAUGCAACAAAACAUUUGUGCAAAGAGCCAUGAAGAAAUAGUGAAUAUAUAGGUCAUUUGUGGGUAAAUGAAAUUUUAGAAGGACACCCAGUUCGUUGUUAUGAAAUGUUUAGAAUGGAACCACAUGUGUUCCAUCAAUUAUGCAGUAAAUUGACAUAGCAUGGAUUGAAGGAUACUAGGCGAAUGAGAGUACAGGAGAUGGUUGCAAUUUUUUUAAAUACAAUUGGAUAUGGGUUGGGAAAUAGGAUGGCACAAGAAAGAUUUCAACAUUCAGGAGAGACUAUUCACAGACAUUUUUAUGAAGUCUUAAUGGCUUGCUCAAAACUUGCAAUAGAAUAUAUCAAACCACAAGACAAGUCCUUUCAUCACGUAUCAAACAAAAUAGAAAAUGAUAAGCAAUAUUGGCCAUUCUUUAAAAAUGCCAUUGGAUCAAUUGAUCGCACACAUAUUCCAUGUGUAGUCCCUGCUAGUGAAAAAUCAAAAUAUAUUGAAAGAAAAGGAAUCCCUACACAAAAUGUAACGGCUGUGUGUGAUUGGGACAUGUGCUUUACUUUUGUCUUGGCUGGAUGGGAGGGCACUGCACAUGAUGCUCGCAUUUUUCAACAUGCCCUGACAACUCAAUCCAUGAACUUUCCACAUCUGCCUUUAGGUAUAUUUGUUUGUUCAAUUUAUUUGUGUUAGACUUUCCAACUUAUAGGCAUUAAUAAUAAUCUUUUUUUUACAAGAUAAAUAUUAUUCGGUGGAUGCUGGCUAUCCAACACCAAAUGGAUAUCUUAGUUCGUAUAGACGGGAAUGCUACCAUCUUCCUGAUUUUAGAAGAUCAAUUGGAUUUGCAAAUAAUAACGAGGUCUUUAAUUAUUUUCAUUCAAGUUUAUAGUGCACAAUAGAAAGAAUAUUUAGAGUUUGGAAGAACAGGUUUGCAAUUUUAUGCAACAUGCUUAGCUAUGACUACGAUAUACAAGUUCAAAUCAUUGUUGCAUUAAUGGCGAUACAUAAUUUCAUUAGAAGACACUCUAACUCUGAUGCUGAUUUUAUUCAUCAUGAGAGGGAAAUAUCAGGAAGACCAUGAGGAUCAAGAAGACCAUGACGUUGAUGAAUAUUCAUCCAUGACAUCUUCAUCAGCUAUGACUAGUAUUCGUGAUAUCAUUAGGGACCAACUUGUAUAUUAUCAUUUUCAUUAGUUAUUGUAAAAUUACUAUUUUAUAUUUAAGAAUUUAAUUUUCUUGUC